GUAAACGAUGUCGACUUGGAGGUUGUGCCCUUGAGGUGUGGCUUCCGGAGCUAACGCGUUAAGUCGACCGCCUGGGGAGUACGGCCGCAAGGUUAAAACUCAAAUGAAUUGACGGGGGCCCGCACAAGCGGUGGAGCAUGUGGUUUAAUUCGAUGCAACGCGAAGAACCUUACCUGGUCUUGACAUCCACGGAAGUUUUCAGAGAUGAGAAUGUGCCUUCGGGAACCGUGAGACAGGUGCUGCAUGGCUGUCGUCAGCUCGUGUUGUGAAAUGUUGGGUUAAGUCCCGCAACGAGCGCAACCCUUAUCCUUUGUUGCCAGCGGUCCGGCCGGGAACUCAAAGGAGACUGCCAGUGAUAAACUGGAGGAAGGUGGGGAUGACGUCAAGUCAUCAUGGCCCUUACGACCAGGGCUACACACGUGCUACAAUGGCGCAUACAAAGAGAAGCGACCUCGCGAGAGCAAGCGGACCUCAUAAAGUGCGUCGUAGUCCGGAUUGGAGUCUGCAACUCGACUCCAUGAAGUCGGAAUCGCUAGUAAUCGUGGAUCAGAAUGCCACGGUGAAUACGUUCCCGGGCCUUGUACACACCGCCCGUCAC
This 598-nucleotide ribosomal RNA is filed under the name Shigella flexneri. RNAcentral describes it as "bacterial SSU rRNA". It matches the Rfam family "Bacterial small subunit ribosomal RNA", at positions 802 to 1400 of the family's 1533-position model. The record is from RNAcentral. Lineage: Bacteria; Pseudomonadati; Pseudomonadota; Gammaproteobacteria; Enterobacterales; Enterobacteriaceae.